Molecule: long non-coding RNA, 2347 nt
Organism: Fundulus heteroclitus (mummichog)
Lineage: Eukaryota; Metazoa; Chordata; Actinopteri; Cyprinodontiformes; Fundulidae
Exons: 3
Source: RefSeq, a predicted model, not a curated record
ACAAAUGACAAACUCAACCGGAAAGGGAGGAACUGUCAUCUUAAAAGCUAACCCGGAAGUGAUAACUGGAGCGGUCAUGGUGACCCAAGAUGGACGGCAAUCGAGUUGCGUUUUGCACGUUUGUGGAAAACAUAUGGGCAACUUAAUGCAGUUUUACUUUUCGUGUGGUUGGUCGUGGGAAUUUUUAAAUAGCAGGGAACACACGGAAGGACCAGAGGCACAGAAGACUUCUCAACAGCCGGAUAAUGCCAAACAAACAGAAAAACCUUGAGCAUCAUACAAACAGUUCCUGGAGUACAGAAGCUUAAAGUCCAAUGAGCAUCAGCCAUUUAACUAUGGUCCGAGAAGACGGCAUCGAGCUAAAGAACGAAAACAAGUCCAGGUAAACUGCACUAUGAUGACAGUGUUAUUAAUACCCGGCUGUUUUACUCGAGGUGGCUUAGAAAUGGAUCUGUCUGAUAGUGAAUUUCUUUUACAGACUGACUUAUAUUAAAAAAGAAAAAUGAAAGUCUCUGAAGCUGAUAUCUUGACGUAGAUUCUGUGACAUAUCAGCUACGGGCCAAAGCACUGUAUAACCAUUUGGAGAUAUAGCCUAUAAACUGGUAUAGCUCGCUGUGAAGCUCUGGUGGCACAAAUUAGACCAUGGAGGGUCUAAUUUUAUUAUUUUUAUUUGUUUCACAGAAAAAAAAUUAUUUUGGUGAGGACAUGGAUCCACCUGAAACAAGUCCAGACAAGAGGAGCUACAGGUAAAACAAACAAAACAAAAAAAAUAAUGGGGAAGAAAUUAUUUUUUGUUAAAUAUUUUAACAUGAAAACUGUAAUUUACCAACAGUAAGUACAUAGAUCUGUAUGCACCAGGUGUUGAGGAAGAGGAUGAGGAGUUUGUUGAAGUCAGUGUGGAGAAAUUCCAAGACACAGUGUAAAAUGUAUCUAUAAGUGUGACAUUCCAGUUUUUUCUUUGUGCAACAUUGCUGGUAUUUAAGUAUCUGUUGUUUAAUUGUGCACCAUCUGGGAUAUUCUUUAACUGAAGCACUUGUUGUCUUUGCAGGAUAUACAUGCACACUACACUACAUGACAUUGCAGCAAACCUGUCACUUCCUGUUGAUCACAACAGUGUAAGGAGGUUCAACAUCUCAAAGGCUAAUGUUUGGGAGGGAGGUGUCAGAGGGUUUAAGCGUUCAACAUAUUCUGAAACCUGUGACACGCUGGUCAGAUUUGCUGAUGAUGCUGGUGUUUAUGAGGAGGGUAUUGACACAGGUGGCCCAAGAUGGGAACUUUUAACUCUGCUAAUGAAACACCUGAAAGACCGGCUCAUUUUAGAUGGACGUGAAGGACAUUGGUUCUUGGUCUACAAUGGAAAUGGUAUGCAUAGGAUUAGAAAUGUGCUAUACUAAUGGUUAGUUAAUUAUCACACAGCAUAUCAUUCUCCUCAAUGUCUUAAAGGUGUAUAAUGUAUGUUUUCAUGAAUUCAUUGCAGCUUAAGUUGUGCAUGUUGUGCGUUUCCCCGAUCUUGCACAUUAUCUUGCUGGCCAGCCUUCAUUCAAACCAACUGUUAAUUUAAUAGCAGAUGAAGAAAUAAGGAAAGCUUUGCAAGAGGUGAGGAUAGCAUCUAUAGUGUGAUCAGACAGGCUCAUCUGUUAUUGAAAGGUAAAACAUUUUUAAUGAUGUGAUUGUCUUCUUUUACUAUGUGAUUUUCUUUUAAUGGACAUGUGCAUCUCAUCAGAUAGUGACCGUGACAACAUUUUGGUCGUAUUUGUGUCUGAAACUGUGUUUGUGCUCACUUUAUAGGUUCAAACAUGGUCUUUCAUCCCUUCAGGUCUUGAUUGUACCACAGCAACACCCUACUUUGCUGACCCCUGUCCUGUGCCACUUAGAAAAGCGACUCACUGGCUUUGAACUAGAGAGAUUCUUCAAACCUACACUCAGCCUUUCUGGGAGCAACAGGAGACUAAAAGAAAGUCAAACCCUGACCUAUUGGGCAGACUAUCUCCUCCAUUGUGAAGAAGGCGAGACUGCUUUGUCUGUGGAGAACAUUUUGAUGUUUACAACUAGACUUCCCCCGUCUGGCUUGGAACCAUCGCCACGGAUAGAGUGCCUAGAUUACUCUCCAUUCCCAAUGGCAGAUACAUAUUCAGACUUACUCAAACUACCACUGCUGGAGUCAUACAGUUUGUUCAAGUUUCAGAUAGACUUUGGAAUUCAAAGUAGCCCAGGAUUUGGUUGCCUAUAAAUCAAAACUGGUUAACUCUAAGAGUUACGUCCUCUCACAUCCCUGAGGACUGAGCUACCGGGGCAAAUUCAUGAAAUGAUCCCUCUUCACUUGCAGAUUCUGCUUUUGUUUUAGGUA